UACACACGGAUAACAUACCGAAAGGUAUGCUAAUACGGGAUAAUAUAUUUGAGAGGCAUCUCUUAAAUAUCAAAGGUGAGCCAGUACAGGAUGGACCCGCGUCUGAUUAGCUAGUUGGUAAGGUAACGGCUUACCAAGGCGACGAUCAGUAGCCGACCUGAGAGGGUGAUCGGCCACAUUGGAACUGAGACACGGUCCAAACUCCUACGUGAGGCAGCAGUGGGGAAUAUUGCACAAUGGGCGAAAGCCUGAUGCAGCAACGCCGCGUGAGUGAUGAAGGCCUUCGGGUCGUAAAACUCUGUCCUCAAGGAAGAUAAUGACGGUACUUGAGGAGGAAGCCCCGGCUAACUACGUGCCAGCAGCCGCGGUAAUACGUAGGGGGCUAGCGUUAUCCGGAUUUACUGGGCGUAAAGGGUGCGUAGGCGGUCUUUCAAGUCAGGAGUGAAAGGCUACGGCUCAACCGUAGUAAGCUCUUGAAACUGGGAGACUUGAGUGCAGGAGAGGAGAGUGGAAUUCCUAGUGUAGCGGUGAAAUGCGUAGAUAUUAGGAGGAACACCAGUUGCGAAGGCGGCUCUCUGGACUGUAACUGACGCUGAGGCACGAAAGCGUGGGGAGCAAACAGGAUUAGAUACCCUGGUAGUCCACGCUGUAAACGAUGAGUACUAGGUGUCGGGGGUUACCCCCUUCGGUGCCGCAG
This 697-nucleotide ribosomal RNA is filed under the name uncultured bacterium. RNAcentral describes it as "bacterial SSU rRNA". It matches the Rfam family "Bacterial small subunit ribosomal RNA", at positions 134 to 851 of the family's 1533-position model. The record is from RNAcentral.